GCGGUGUACACCUUCUCGGUGCCGGUCUGCGACGAUUCUUCGGGCCUCUUUCCGACCCGUCUUGAAACACGGACCAAGGAGUCUAACGUGUGCGCGAGUCGCGGGGUGUCGUCGACAGCGCGUUCCGAUCUUUCGGAGCGGCAGCCGUCGACGUUAUUCAAACGAAACCCGACGAAGGCGUAAUGAAAGUGAAUUUGGGAGGAUGGUGCCUCGAGUACACCUUCUCGGCGAAUUAAGCCGAGACCGAGUGCCCGCACUCCCGGGGCGUCCCACCAAGUCCGGCCGGUAUACGUGACAGCGGCGUUCUCGUCGCUGUCGGUUGCCGCCGAACUGGGGCGCACUCUGAGCGUACACGUUGGUACCCGAAAGAUGGUGAACUAUGCCCGGCCAGGAUGAAGUCAGGGGAAACCCUGAUGGAGGUCCGCAGCGAUUCUGACGUGCAAAUCGAUCGUCUGAG
This 457-nucleotide ribosomal RNA is filed under the name Hemiptera sp. NZAC 03010860. RNAcentral's name for it is "eukaryotic LSU rRNA". It matches the Rfam family "Eukaryotic large subunit ribosomal RNA", at positions 593 to 910 of the family's 3401-position model. Lineage: Eukaryota; Metazoa; Arthropoda; Insecta; Hemiptera. The record is from RNAcentral.